RNAcentral lists this transfer RNA (83 nucleotides) under Burkholderia cepacia. RNAcentral's name for it is "tRNA-Ser(gct)". Lineage: Bacteria; Pseudomonadati; Pseudomonadota; Betaproteobacteria; Burkholderiales; Burkholderiaceae. The record is from RNAcentral.
CGCGCGCGCCGGAUGGGGCGCGUUCGUGCGGUUGCUGCUCACGCCCGAGCUGUGGGUUGCCGCGCAGAUCCGCAAGCGCGCGG